GAGGAGGGUGUGUUAUUGAAUGGUGGCUAAAGCCUCCUCGGGACGGCGCUGAGGUGAAACACGCUGAACCCGAGUGAUGUAGCUCCGCUCCCGGUCGGACCCAGUGCCCUCAGCAGCCGACGGGAGACCCCGGCCGCCGGCUCCAGGUACCUUUUUAAUGCUGAAAUGGGCAUACUAAUUGUGAACUGUGUGGUAAGAAGCUCCUUCUAAAAUAUUCACUAACUUAUUUACUGGAAUUUAACAGGCUCUGCUCUUCAAAGCUUUCCUUGCCUUUAAUCACGUGAACAAACCUUUCAAGUCAUGUUGUCAGCUCGAGAUCUGGCAGAGGAACAGCAGUGUGGAAGCAGCCCCUGCCAUUAGCCAAGGUACAGAAAGGAGCUGGUGACCUGCGACAGGACGAAAGACCUCACUUACCAAGAUUUGCUCACGGUUAUGCUUCUGGCAACUGACAUUUCAAUUUUACUCAAAGCUUCUAUAUCUGUGUCAUCAGAUGAAGCCCCAUGAGUGGUGGCAGAGCCUUCUGAAACUGUGGCCUUCAUUUUCAAGUUUGAAGAGAAAAAACUAUUUACAUGCCUAAAUUCCAGAACUUGCUGUUCAGAGAGGAAACACUAAGAAGUCAGCAUUAUUUAACAGAAAUGAACAAAUGGAAAGGUAUUUAUUUGCCAAACUGCAAGAGGAUGUCAGAAACGGUCUCUGCCAGUUGUCUUCAAUAGCCUUUCAUAUGAAGUAGCACUACUAUAAGCUGUUGUGUCAAAAAUCAGAUAGGAUCUUAAAGAAAGCAAAGUGUAUAUCAAUCUAUUCACACUCAGGUGGUAUUCAGAGUCUAUCAAGAGGAGAAUAAGGUCUGUAAUUGUUAUUUUUAAGAAGCAUGGAGGGCAUCCAGAAGAGUUGAAGUGGGAGCCCUUUCAAGUAUAUACCCCGAAGAAGCAAAAGGAGUAGUAAUAAACCUAAACUUUUCCCUGUAAAGUGGAAGACUGUUGGA
This 982-nucleotide long non-coding RNA is filed under the name Strigops habroptila (Kakapo). RNAcentral's name for it is "lncRNA (ENSSHBG00005007230.1)". Lineage: Eukaryota; Metazoa; Chordata; Aves; Psittaciformes; Psittacidae. The record is from RNAcentral.